GAGUUUGAUCAUGGCUCAGGAUGAACGCUAGCGGCAGGCUUAACACAUGCAAGUCGAGGGGUAUAGUUCUUCGGAAUUAGAGACCGGCGCACGGGUGCGUAACGCGUAUGCAAUCUACCUUUCACAGAGGGAUAGCCCAGAGAAAUUUGGAUUAAUACCUCAUAGUAUAACGACUCUGCAUGGAGAUGUUAUUAAAGUCACAACGGUGAAAGAUGAGCAUGCGUCCCAUUAGCUAGUUGGUAAGGUGACGGCUUACCAAGGCUACGAUGGGUAGGGGUCCUGAGAGGGAGAUCCCCCACACUGGUACUGAGACACGGACCAGACUCCUACGGGAGGCAGCAGUGAGGAAUAUUGGACAAUGGGCGCUAGCCUGAUCCAGCCAUGC
Molecule: ribosomal RNA, 385 nt
Filed under: uncultured bacterium
Lineage: Bacteria
Description: bacterial SSU rRNA
Rfam family: Bacterial small subunit ribosomal RNA
Source: RNAcentral